UAGGAAGUAGUAUAGAGGGAGUACGGAGAGUUUUGGUCUCUUUGGUGUGGGUUCGAGUCCCAUUUUUCU
This 69-nucleotide transfer RNA is filed under the name Aspidoscelis scalaris (rusty-rumped whiptail). RNAcentral's name for it is "tRNA-Gln". It matches the Rfam family "tRNA". Rfam says of the family: Transfer RNA (tRNA) molecules are approximately 80 nucleotides in length. Their secondary structure includes four short double-helical elements and three loops (D, anti-codon, and T loops). The record is from RNAcentral. Lineage: Eukaryota; Metazoa; Chordata; Lepidosauria; Squamata; Teiidae.